GGGUUGUGAGGUUAAGCGACUAAGCGUACACGGUGGAUGCCCUGGCAGUCAGAGGCGAUGAAGGACGUGCUAAUCUGCAGAAAGCGUCGGUAAGGUGAUAUGAACCGUUAUAACCGGCGAUGUCCGAAUGGGGAAACCCAGUGCAAUUCGUUGCACUAUCGUUAACUGAAUACAUAGGUUAACGAGGCG
RNAcentral lists this ribosomal RNA (189 nucleotides) under Klebsiella pneumoniae. RNAcentral's name for it is "partial 23S ribosomal RNA". It matches the Rfam family "Bacterial large subunit ribosomal RNA", at positions 1 to 181 of the family's 2925-position model. The record is from RNAcentral. Lineage: Bacteria; Pseudomonadati; Pseudomonadota; Gammaproteobacteria; Enterobacterales; Enterobacteriaceae.